This 24-nucleotide non-coding RNA is filed under the name Rattus norvegicus (Norway rat). Lineage: Eukaryota; Metazoa; Chordata; Mammalia; Rodentia; Muridae. The record is from RNAcentral.
CACAAGCUGCGCAGCGUGAGGUGU